This 492-nucleotide ribosomal RNA is filed under the name uncultured bacterium. RNAcentral's name for it is "partial 16S ribosomal RNA". It matches the Rfam family "Bacterial small subunit ribosomal RNA", at positions 29 to 507 of the family's 1533-position model. The record is from RNAcentral.
AGUGAACGCUGGCGGUAGGCCUAACACAUGCAAGUCGAACGGCAGCACAGUAAGAGCUUGCUCUUACGGGUGGCGAGUGGCGGACGGGUGAGGAAUACAUCGGAAUCUACUUUUUCGUGGGGGAUAACGUAGGGAAACUUACGCUAAUACCGCAUACGACCUACGGGUGAAAGCAGGGGAUCUUCGGACCUUGCGCGAUUGAAUGAGCCGAUGUCGGAUUAGCUAGUUGGCGGGGUAAAGGCCCACCAAGGCGACGAUCCGUAGCUGGUCUGAGAGGAUGAUCAGCCACACUGGAACUGAGACACGGUCCAGACUCCUACGGGAGGCGGCAGUGGGGAAUAUUGGACAAUGGGCGCAAGCCUGAUCCAGCCAUACCGCGUGGGUGAAGAAGGCCUUCGGGUUGUAAAGCCCUUUUGUUGGGAAAGAAAAGCAGCAGGUUAAUACCCCGCUGUUCUGACGGUACCCAAAGAAUAAGCACCGGCUAACUUCAUG